GGAUCCACACUUUGAUUCUGGCUCAGGAUGAACGCUAGCUACAGGCUUAACACAUGCAAGUCGAGGGGCAGCAUGGUCUUAGCUUGCUAAGGCUGAUGGCGACCGGCGCACGGGUGAGUAACACGUAUCCAACCUGCCGUCUACUCCUGGCCAGCCUUCUGAAAGGAAGAUUAAUCCAGGAUGGCAUCAUGAGUUCACAUGUCCGCAUGAUUAAAGGUAUUUUCCGGUAGACGAUGGGGAUGCGUUCCAUUAGAUAGUAGGCGGGGUAACGGCCCACCUAGUCAACGAUGGAUAGGGGUUCUGAGAGGAAGGUCCCCCACAUUGGAACUGAGACACGGUCCAAACUCCUACGGGAGGCAGCAGUGAGGAAUAUUGGUCAAUGGGCGAUGGCCUGAACCAGCCAAGUAGCGUGAAGGAUGACUGCCCUAUGGGUUGUAAACUUCUUUUAUAAAGGAAUAAAGUCGGGUAUGCAUACCCGUUUGCAUGUACUUUAUGAAUAAGGAUCGGCUAACUCCGUGCCAGCAGCCGCGGUAAUACGGAGGAUCCGAGCGUUAUCCGGAUUUAUUGGGUUUAAAGGGAGCGUAGAUGGAUGUUUAAGUCAGUUGUGAAAGUUUGCGGUUCAACCGUAAAAUUGCAGUUGAUACUGGAUGUCUUGAGUGCAGUUGAGGCAGGCGGAAUUCGUGGUGUAGCGGUGAAAUGCUUAGAUAUCACGAAGAACUCCGAUUGCGAAGGCAGCCUGCUAAGCUGCAACUGACAUUGAGGCUCGAAAGUGUGGGUAUCAAACAGGAUUAGAUACCCUGGUAGUCCACACGGUAAACGAUGAAUACUCGCUGUUUGCGAUAUACGGCAAGCGGCCAAGCGAAAGCGUUAAGUAUUCCACCUGGGGAGUAC
Molecule: ribosomal RNA, 891 nt
Filed under: uncultured bacterium
Lineage: Bacteria
Description: bacterial SSU rRNA
Rfam family: Bacterial small subunit ribosomal RNA
Source: RNAcentral